UACGAAGGGGGCUAGCGUUGUUCGGAAUUACUGGGCGUAAAGCGCACGUAGGCGGAUUGUUAAGUCAGGGGUGAAAUCCCGGGGCUCAACCCCGGAACUGCCUUUGAUACUGGCAUUCUCGAGUCCGGAAGAGGUGAGUGGAAUUCCGAGUGUAGAGGUGAAAUUCGUAGAUAUUCGGAGGAACACCAGUGGCGAAGGCGGCUCACUGGUCCGGAACUGACGCUGAGGUGCGAAAGCGUGGGGAGCAAACAGG
RNAcentral lists this ribosomal RNA (253 nucleotides) under uncultured bacterium. RNAcentral's name for it is "partial 16S ribosomal RNA". It matches the Rfam family "Bacterial small subunit ribosomal RNA", at positions 524 to 776 of the family's 1533-position model. The record is from RNAcentral.